GACGAACGCUGGCGGCGUGCCUAAUACAUGCAAGUCGAGCGAAGUUUUUCUGGUGCUUGCACUAGAAAAACUUAGCGGCGAACGGGUGAGUAACACGUAAAGAACCUGCCUCAUAGACUGGGACAACUAUUGGAAACGAUAGCUAAUACCGGAUAACAGUAUUUCUCGCAUGAGAGAUAUUUAAAAGUUGGUUAUGCUAACACUAUGAGAUGGCUUUGCGGUGCAUUAGCUAGUUGGUGGGGUAAAGGCCCACCAAGGCGACGAUGCAUAGCCGACCUGAGAGGGUGAUCGGCCACACUGGGCACUGAGACACGGCCCAGACUCCUACGGGAGGCAGCAGUAGGGAAUCUUCCGCAAUGGGCGAAAGCCUGACGGAGCAACGCCGCGUGAGUGAAGAAGGAUUUCGGUUCGUAAAGCUCUGUUGUUAGGGAAGAAUGGAUAUGUAGUAACUAUACAUAUAAGAGACUU
Molecule: ribosomal RNA, 468 nt
Filed under: Gemella morbillorum
Lineage: Bacteria; Bacillati; Bacillota; Bacilli; Caryophanales; Gemellaceae
Description: bacterial SSU rRNA
Rfam family: Bacterial small subunit ribosomal RNA
Source: RNAcentral